Molecule: transfer RNA, 68 nt
Filed under: bovine gut metagenome
Rfam family: tRNA
About the family: Transfer RNA (tRNA) molecules are approximately 80 nucleotides in length.
Source: RNAcentral
UCAUGUAGCUCAAUGGUAGAGCGAUAGGCUGUUAACCUGGGGAGUGAGAAUUCGAUUCUCUCCAUGAC